GGGGUUGUGGCUUAGUGGCAGAGCGCUUGCCUAGCAUGUGUGAGGCACUGGGUUCGAUUCUCAGCACCA
RNAcentral lists this transfer RNA (69 nucleotides) under Marmota monax (woodchuck). It matches the Rfam family "tRNA". From Rfam's summary of the family: Transfer RNA (tRNA) molecules are approximately 80 nucleotides in length. Their secondary structure includes four short double-helical elements and three loops (D, anti-codon, and T loops). Lineage: Eukaryota; Metazoa; Chordata; Mammalia; Rodentia; Sciuridae. RNAcentral also lists the same sequence under 1 other name. The record is from Rfam by way of RNAcentral.